Molecule: ribosomal RNA, 118 nt
Filed under: Pteropus alecto (black flying fox)
Lineage: Eukaryota; Metazoa; Chordata; Mammalia; Chiroptera; Pteropodidae
Source: RNAcentral
AUCUAUGGCCAUGCCACCUUGAACAAGCCCGAUCUCGUCUGAUCUUGGAAGCUAAGCAGGGUCGGGCCUGGUCAGUAUUUGGAUGGGAGACCACUAGGAAAACCAGGUGCUGUAGAUG